AACACCAUUCCCAAUAACACACAGGUAUCCUCAUUAAGGAUACCAGAAGGAAUGAGUUGAAGGGCAAAAAAUUUUCAGACUCUGGAUUAUAAAUGGUAUAUCCACAUUAGCUCCCACAUCGAGGCUGGAACAACCACACUUGUGAGAGACGCCACACUCUUACCCAAAACCUUAAGACUUUAGGUUUAUGGGUCCUCUUACUUAUAAGGUGUUCAACCUCUACUGUUUUAUCCGAGGUGGGACAUAUAAGUUACACUUGCACACAACAACAAGGAAGAGGGAAGGAACAAUAAUCGUUUACCAAGACCGAUUAAACCAAAUCGUGCAAAAUAUUGUAAAGCAUAAGGCUACCUUACAGCGAUCAAGUUCAUACAUCAAUCAAAAUGUUAAUGCUAGCCUACUAACCACUUAGAGACAGAUUUAGAUAAACUUUUAAUAUACACUUACAAAAGUCAAAUUGAUAAUGCACAAGUUGAAAUUUCUUUCAGAACCUUGAGCACCAUCUUCUAGCUUUCAUAAAAAUCUAUAAACUUCGAUAAGGGUUCUAAAACACACUGUUUUUGUAAAAUGCGGGAAUUAAAACUACAUACAAAUUUUAUAGGGAGUAUAUUAAAAACUGGAUAUUUUAUAGACUAACACAUUUGAACCUUUACUUUAUGACUCUAAAGCAAAGAAAAUUGGUAUACUUAACUCCUUUUUCUAGAGACUCUUACAAUGUAUCAAUACUGAAAUUAAAUAAGAUAGCGCAGAUACAAAGAGAUCAAAAUAAAACAUGUUCUUCAAUUUUAGACUUACAUGUGCAAUAUGAUAUUCAUUUGGCAAUAUUGCUGAUGGAAUGUUAUCAUGGAAGUCAGGGAACAGGACAACCCUCAGCGUAUACACCUGGAGCUGUAGGACAUCUAGCCAAAGGGCAGUGAUCUGCUUCAAGGCCCCACCAUGUUGGACCAAAAAUACCAUAGGAUUGAAGAGAAAAAUAAAGUACUAAACCCAUAAAAGCAACUCCAGCAUCUAAACCAGCUGAGAGAAUAUAAGUAUGUCUAGCCCACCAAACUCUGAACUUUCUAUAAACAUAGAAAUUGAAAAACAUUCCAACAAUUCCCCAAGUAAUAUAAUUCACAGAUCUCCUGGGAGGAAUAGUAGAUGCACCUACAAUGAUAAUAGGAAUGUUGAUAAGUUUAAUCCACUUGUGGUUAGGAAAUUUGAUAGAAAGAAGCCACACCGGUACAGGUGCAAUUAGGCCAAUAAGGAAAAACCAAUUCAUCCCAGGAUAAACGCCGUCAUUGGUAAACAUUCUCUUUGGCCCUACAACUCCCCAUAUAAUGGAAGCAUUGUAAAAUGCAUCAUCACCAGGACACGUCCAAGGACUACCUUUCGGCAACAACGAUUCAUCACAUAUGUUCUCUAUAGAUGUUAGAAGCCACCAUGCUGUUCCAAAGUGGACAGACAAAGAAACUACAGUGCCGACUAGCUGCACAAUAAACAUUGAUUUUGGUGGAAUUUUCAUAUAGUGGCCUAAUUUGAAGUCACCGAGAAAACCAAGUGCUUGUACCAUGCUCGUAUGGCCAUAUGUUUUGAAAGCUACAUUAGCUAGUGGCUUUCCUGGAUAGGUGAAACCAAUUACCAACUCUGUGAUCACAUUAAGACCUGUUCUUGCGCUUGUUGUUGCUUCAAUGACACCAAUUGGUAAGGUGAAAACUAAUGCAAUUGAUAGUGAUAGUAAGAUUCCCCACCAUGGAAGUUGGAGCUGCUUGCCGAAGCCUUCACAGGCUAGUAAGGCCAUCAUAACCAUUAAAAUUAAAAUGGCGACAAACCACCACUCAGGGACUUGUUCAUAGUUUUUCUUCAUAAUUCUUGUAUGGACAUCUCCAAGUUGGUUUUUUAGUGAAGUCGUUGUCUUCUUCCACAUCUGAACAAUCAUUUCUCCGUGGAAGAGGACAACGUGUGAAAUUGUCGCUGUAAGAGCUGCAAAGCUCAAUCCAUACUGGAACGCAAAUGUGACACUCAGAUAGAUCUUGCUGUAGUUGUUAUAACUUUCCAUAUCGAUGUCGAAGGUUUUAGUAUUGAGAAUCCGAGUAAUGUUGUACGUUGCACCAGUAGAGUCAAAUGUGUGAGAACUAAUGAGGGGAAACUUUUUUGCAUCAUAUACAUUGUUCCAAUAAGCAAUUGGAAUCAAAACAUACAUAUACAAUACAAAUCCAGCCAUUAUGUUGAUGAUAGCAAAGCCAGGCACAGCCAAAGGACUGCCUAAGAAGCCAGCAACAGUGUUCCAGUCGAGACCAAACGAACCAAUACCGAGGCCUUUCAUACCUGAACCAAUCUGUUGCGCAGUGAUUGAAUCUUUCCAAAUCAAACAAAAAAAAGAAACAGUUGAUAUUGCUUGAAAAAAAUAGCCCGGAACUAUGUAAUACGCAAAGCUAGCUACAAAGACUAAGAAAAAGAAUUGCAGCCUAGAAGUUCCUCCUUUAGGCCUUUUUUCUUUUUCAUGAAAUGCCCUAAAUAAAGACACUUGCACAAGGAUUUCAGGCCACCACAUGUAAGGUGAAUCAACAAGGAACCUUCUGAAAAUCCCGGCCCAUCCAUACCCAAGUAUCUGAGUCGAUAGCGCUAACAAAUAAGCCGCUAUGGGAUGGAUGUUCCUAUGAUAGAAACCCUUAACAAUUGUGAUUAUGUUAAUGGCAUAUACACCGCUAGAUCCUGAGGUAGCAAAGAUGCUGAUCAAAACAUGUUCCUUCACAGAGAAUGACCCUGGAUUCAACGAAAAAGUCAAACUUGUGAAAGGGACUUGAAUUGUUUUUAUGGGAAGUGUUGCAGCCAUAAGUUUCCCAAGUGGGAGGGUAAUAAUCUGAGCUGAGACAGAAGUGAUUUUCAAAGGGUUGGUUUUGUAUCCUAAAAAUUGGUUCAUAAAUGCAAGGAGCACACAUGAUGCUAACCCUAGAACCCAUGUCCGGAAAGUAAGUGCUGGCUGUGAAGGGUCAUCAGUGAUUGGAACUGUUAGCCUCACUUGCUCAAUAGGAGAAUCAUCAAUGCUAUAUUCAUCUGUCUCUGCAUACUCUAUGACCCUAUUUUGUGUCACUCCACCACUUGAACACUCAGCUUCCUAAUCCAUAAAACAAAGCAAAGGAGAAAAUUCAAAGGAACAAAAACACAAUCAUAAUAAACAACUUAAUUGAGUCUUUAUUAUAUAAGUGCUUAUGCAUAAGCUAUGUCUAUAACAAAGUCAAAUUAUUUUCAUAUAAGCUAUGAAGUGUUUUCAUAAGCUAUCUGAAAAAAAGCUAAAAACAACUUAUGAACAUGUCAUAAGUUGUUUCCAUAAGUUCUCUCAAACAAUCUCACAAGUGUUUAUGCCGAUAUAGAUAAGCUCAGAAAAAACUAUCCAAAGCAGCUUAUGCAUGCAUAUUAGAUUAAUGGAGUUGGGGAGUAGGUACCUUUUCAAAGGCAAGAAGAGGGGUGGUAACUGUCAUGCAAUACUCUGAAGAGAGAGGUGAUAUUAUCUUCUUCAUUGCUGCUAUAUAAACUAAGGAUUGCAGAUGUUAAUAGAGAAAAAGAGAGCUGUGAAGUUCAGUAAGAAGCAGUUAUGAACUUUAAGAUAUAUAUUUUCAUCUCAAUUCGAGCUUAGAGUUAUUAACUUCAAGCUUGUUGCAAGAACAUCGACAGAAUUUCAGUUUUAAUCAGGAGCUCAACUAGCUCUUGUGAAUUAGUGUUGAACAUGAAACAUCAAUUUCAUGAUUAGUAUUUGUAUUGGAAGGUAGUUAUGUUAGUUUGCCUCUUCGAUUAGAUGAGAUAGCGUACACUGUUACAGCUAAGCCCCACCAUAUAUCAAUAUAUACUUUAUUAUAUGAGCUUGAUGUAUCAUCAUCCCUCAAUCUCAUUGAUGCUUUUUCGUUAUGCACAGCAAAAUGUAUAGAUAAAAAGGUGAAUAGGUGGGGAUACAGCUCUAUAAUUUGCAACGAUCUACUAACAUUCCAAUAUAAUAUCAACAUUUCAUGGUCCAAAACAGAAAAAUCACAACAAAAACAAAAACAUACGACCAAAUUUAUGACUACACUCCUCAAUAAAAAAUAUGAUAUGACUGGUUGAUUUAAGGAGUAUAUAUGUUCACAAAUACCAAAAAUUGAACAUCAGACAUCUUAAAAUCCAAAUCCAAUCCACUCGGACGAACUCAUGUGUGUAAUGAUUAUUAAUUGUGUAAUGAUUAUUAAUUUAUAACAGUAACACUUCUUUUAACAAAACAUGUUCGAAUCAUUUUAUAUAUUGAGAAACUAAUUUAUCAAAAGUUUAAACCCAUUCGACAGUAACUAGGAUUCAAAUUAUUUAAGCUUUAAAAAAAAGGGGGGGCUCUAGCUAUUCUAGAAAUAACAUUUGAUGUUUAUUCAUACAUCUGAUAUACAAAAUUACAUUUUCUUAUAAGCAUAUAAAAAAAUAACAUUGAAUCGAACGCCUGGGAUAUAUUGUGAGUUGAAAUUUUUGAGUAUUCAAUCAAAUACACUGGAACCCCAAAAUUCUGGCAUCAAAGGCAGAAAAAAUAUAUGAUCUCAACGAGCCAACAGAUUUAUCAAAUUUUCUGGAAAAGUUUCAAUAAUUUAUCAUUCUACAAAGUUUUGUUUUGUAUAAAACUCAACCUGGUCCAAGACUUGACUAAUUUAUCAGUUGACUACCAGUUCAAUCUGAAGUCCCAAUCUUAUUCAACAACUAUGAUCCCUCUUGAUCAUAUGCAAUGAUCGGAUUAUUCGGAUGAAACCUCUUUCUAUAGUAAGCUGCAAGAAAACAGCAAGCUACCGAUCAAAUUGAAUCUAGACCAUAACACCAAGGAAUGCAGGCAGAACAAGUGAUAAGUGAGAAUUAGGAUUACACAGAACUACAAAACCACAAUGUGUAAUUUUUGGUGAUGCUAGAAACUCAAAACCUCAGGAUCGUUACAAGUACAACAUUAUUUUCUACUCUGCAUAGAAAACACUAAUAACAGAUGUUAUCAUCAUACAUCUAAGUCAUGUAUUACUUCAAAAACUCAUCCUCCCAACAAGUACUGCAAAAUUAAGAAGUGAAAAUGCCAAUGAUGAUUAACAACAGAAUAAUACAUCAAAUAGCCAAUCCUUGCUAUAGUCACUAGAAAUGUGCUUUCAUCCCAAAUCAAAGGUUGGUGGGAAUAAAACUUAUACGCAGAAAGCCUCUAAACUUGCCUAUAGUGACAUGGAAAUUCGUUGUGAAAAUUAUUUGAAUAUGAGAGCAUCACGUCCAGGCCCAACACCAAUGUAGUGAAUAGGGACACCAACGAGUUCUUCUAUCCUUUCCACAUACAACUGGGCAGCUCUUGGAAGGUCAGAAUAGUUUCUGAUGGAAGAAAUGUCGGUCUUCCAUCCAGGAAGUGAUUCAUAUUCCACCUAAAACAUGAAACCAUACAACCAUUAGAAAGUACAUUAUACAUUCCCGAGAAAUCAACGACACUUGUUUUUACUCAAAACCAAUGACACUUAUAAUUCUUGAAUAACCUUUUCUGUUUAUAUAUCAGUAAAAUACAUACAAACACUAGUUUAUGUAAUCAAUGACUUGAAUGAAAGUGGUGGAAAGGGAAAGAUAAUAUUUACCUUCAAUUGCUCGAGAAGACGGAGAUCUGACGGGAAUGAUUGGACUGGGGUGCCAUCAGCAUGUUUAUAGGAGACACCCAAUUGUAUUUCAUCAAGAUCAGACAAAACAUCCAACUUCGUGAGAUUCAAUGAUGAAAAACCGUUGAUCUGACAUGAGUAACUUAAGGCAACUAUAUCCAACCAACCACAUCGUCGAGGACGGCCAGUAGUCGUGCCAAACUCCUGCCCAGCAAAUCUGAGCAGAUCACCUCCUGGACCCAAAAUUUCAGUUGGAAAAGGACCAGAACCAACUCUUGUAGUGUAAGCUUUCACCUGCACAUCCAAAAUAAAUUCAUGAACCAUUCUGCCAGUGUUUAUUAAAUCUGCUUAAAUUGUUUACAUUCUCUAUGUUGGGGGGAAAAGGCACUUGAAGUUCCUGAGCUAAAAGUAAAUUUCAAAAUAAACAAUAACUUAUGAGAAGCAAGGCUUUUUCUUAGGUAUGAUAAUUCAAUAAAAAAAAAAACAGCAGUGACUCCAACAAACAGUGUAGAUAGCGUUCACUUACCACUCCUACUAAAUCACCAAUUACUCUUGGAGCAAUACCAAGACCAGUGCAUAUCCCGCCUGCUGAUGGGCUAGAAGAAGUAACAAAGGGAUAAGUGCCAAAGUCAAUGUCCAACAUGGUUGCUUGUCCUCCUUCAACCAAGACCUUCUUCUUUUGUGUGAUAGCUUCAUUCAUGACAUGCACAGUAUCGGCAAUGUAGGGUUCCAACCUUUCAGCAUAUCUCUUGUAUUUCUCAACUUCUUCCCUGAGCACGUCUGGACCAUACUUAAAAUCUUUGAACCUCAAUGCUGCAUCUGAUAACAAAAGAUCAAGCUUCUGAGGUAAAGUCUCCAUGUACCGCAAAUCACCAACUCUAAUCCCAUUACGGUUAGCUUUGCUGGAGUAGCACGGUCCAAUGCCCCUCUUGGUGGUGCCAAUGAAAGAUUUAGAAAGCUCAGCUUCUCUCAGACCAUCCACUGUUUGGUGGAAAUCAAACAAUAGGUGGGCUCUAUCAGAUAUCAAUAUCCUUCCCUUGCAAGAGACCCCAUUUGACUCCAAGUUAUCAAUUUCUUGAAACAGCCCCGGCAGGUGUACUACAACACCAUUCCCAAUAACACACAGUGUAUCCUCAUUAAGGAUACCAGAAGGAACAAGAUGAAGGGCAAACUUUUUCCCCUCAGCAUUAUAAAUGGUAUGCCCAGCAUUAGCUCCACCCUGAAAAAAUAUCAUCACAAAUCAUCAGUGCAAAAUAACAUGAAUAAAGGAGUGUUAGAUAAUAAUGUCAAGGAAGAGGGUGGGACUAAAAAAAUCACACACCAACACCAAAUGAAACCAAAUCUUGCAAAAU
RNAcentral lists this long non-coding RNA (6952 nucleotides) under Medicago truncatula (barrel medic). RNAcentral describes it as "long non-coding RNA (MTRU_LNC005512)". The record is from RNAcentral. Lineage: Eukaryota; Viridiplantae; Streptophyta; Magnoliopsida; Fabales; Fabaceae.